CUAGUAUCCUUAGUAUUCCGAGUGGUUCAACGGGUCAGGAUACGAGUUAAAUUACAGUGAAUUAACAGCAAAGGAAAAGUAGAUUAUACUUAUGAAAAAGGAAAGGUCAGGUAAGAAAUAAGGUAAGGGAAUAAAGAAGAAGAUAGAAAUUGAGAAGUAAAGAAAUUUAUGAUGUUAGAUGAUAUUAUGCAUAAUUAUCCAUUAUGUUGAAUGUUGUGAUUUAUUUGCUUGUAAGUUUACAGUAAAUAAAUGCAAUAUUCUUUUA
Molecule: long non-coding RNA, 265 nt
Organism: Gossypium arboreum
Lineage: Eukaryota; Viridiplantae; Streptophyta; Magnoliopsida; Malvales; Malvaceae
Exons: 2
Source: RefSeq, a predicted model, not a curated record